UACAGAGGAGCCAAGCGUUGUCCGGAUUGACUGGGCGUAAAGCGCACGCAGGCGGUUUGGCGCGUGGGGUGUGAAAUCUGGCCGCUUAACGGCCAGGCGCCAUCCCAUACGGCUAGACUGGAGUGAUGCAGAGGUCGGUGGAAUUGCCGGUGUAGUGGUGAAAUGCGUAGAUAUCGGGAGGAACACCAGUGGCGAAGGCGACUUCCUGGCCUGUUCUUGACGCUGAGGCGCGAAAGCGUGGGGAGCAAACAGG
RNAcentral lists this ribosomal RNA (253 nucleotides) under uncultured bacterium. RNAcentral describes it as "partial 16S ribosomal RNA". It matches the Rfam family "Bacterial small subunit ribosomal RNA", at positions 524 to 776 of the family's 1533-position model. The record is from RNAcentral.